AUUGAACUCAGAGCCUUGCACUUGCAAGGCAGGUGCAGAGCCACUGAGCUAAAUCCCUGGCCUUACAUGUUCAUUUUAGAACAAUCUCAUUGCCAUAGCAUAGAGUAAGGAUGUCAGCAGGGUGAGGCUGGAAGUAGCUGAGAGAUCAGAGCAAUUGUUCAGGUGAGAGAUGAUGAGAAAUGAACUCUUAUUGUGGCAAAAGGAAUGGAGAGAAAAAUCAAAAUCAUCUUGCACAAAUGUGGUGAAGUGAUUUCAGGAGGGAUGGUGGUGUAGAAUGAAAUAGAUAUCAGGUGGCAUGUUUCUAAGCCUUUGACAUCACUCUUCCCACAGCCUAUUCUGAGCAGUUGUGGCUUCACAAAGUGAAAUGGAAUUUUCUGGAGAAAAUAAAUUUUAAAAAGCUGAAUGCACUUAUUUUGGAGGUUACCCAGUCCUUUGGAGCAAGAGGCUUUUUCUACUACCAGUCUUAUAUUCUUUCUAGAAGAUUAAAAAAAAUAAUUAAAAGAGGACUUGAGUGCUUAGAUUCUCUUGAAGGGAAAAGUGUUGGUGUCCAUUGUAAAUAUAAGUACUGGGGAUCGAACUCAGGACCUUGCACUUGUGAGGAAGGUGCCGGAACCACUCAGCUAAAUCCUCGGCUACAUCCAUCAAUCUUAAUAAAUGAUGAAUGUGACAAUUAUAAAAGGAAUGGGGGAUAGAAUCUUGUGAAAACUUUUAUCCGAGAACUUGAGAUGCAGAUUAUACUCACAAGCAAUUUGAGGACAGGAACUGUAACUUUUAUGAUCUUGUGCCCAAAACAUGGGUCCCUGCAGGAAGUAGAUUAUUUUUCCUCCGUUGACAAGACAGUGCCAGCAUAACUGAGGUCCAC
RNAcentral lists this long non-coding RNA (862 nucleotides) under Heterocephalus glaber (naked mole-rat). Its description in RNAcentral is "lncRNA (ENSHGLG00100035259.1)". Lineage: Eukaryota; Metazoa; Chordata; Mammalia; Rodentia; Bathyergidae. The record is from RNAcentral.